Molecule: transfer RNA, 73 nt
Filed under: Ailuropoda melanoleuca (giant panda)
Lineage: Eukaryota; Metazoa; Chordata; Mammalia; Carnivora; Ursidae
Rfam family: tRNA
About the family: Transfer RNA (tRNA) molecules are approximately 80 nucleotides in length. Their secondary structure includes four short double-helical elements and three loops (D, anti-codon, and T loops).
Source: Rfam by way of RNAcentral
GCUUGGCUGGCUCAGUCAGUAGAGCAUAUGACUCUUGAUCUUGGGGUUGUGAGUUCGAGCCCCACGUUGGGUG